AUUGAACGCUGGCGGCAGGCUUAACACAUGCAAGUCGAGCGGAAACGAUGGGAGCUUGCUCCCAGGCGUCGAGCGGCGGACGGGUGAGUAACGCGUAGGAAUCUACCCAGUAGAGGGGGAUAGCCCGAGGAAACUCGGAUUAAUACCGCAUACGCCCUAAGGGGGAAAGGCCGGGAUCUUCGGACCGGUCACUAUUGGAUGAGCCUGCGUGAGAUUAGCUUGUUGGUGGGGUAAUGGCCCACCAAGGCGACGAUCUCUAGCUGGUCUGAGAGGAUGAUCAGCCACACUGGGACUGAGACACGGCCCAGACUCCUACGGGAGGCAGCAGUGGGGAAUAUUGGACAAUGGGCGCAAGCCUGAUCCAGCCAUGCCGCGUGUGUGAAGAAGGCCUUAGGGUUGUAAAGCACUUUCAGUAGGGAGGAAGGCCCUGUAGUUAAUAGCUGCGGGGAUUGACGUUACCUACAGAAGCAGCACCGGCUAACUCCG
Molecule: ribosomal RNA, 486 nt
Filed under: uncultured Alteromonadales bacterium
Lineage: Bacteria; Pseudomonadati; Pseudomonadota; Gammaproteobacteria; Alteromonadales
Description: bacterial SSU rRNA
Rfam family: Bacterial small subunit ribosomal RNA
Source: RNAcentral